GUGAGGAAUAUUGGACAAUGGGCGCAAGCCUGAUCCAGCCAUGCCGCGUGCAGGAAGACGCAUCUAUGGUGUGUAAACUGCUUUUGUACGGGAAGAAACACUCCCUCGUGAGGGAGCUUGACGGUACCGUAAGAAUAAGGAUCGGCUAACUCCGUGCCAGCAGCCGCGGUAAUACGGAGGAUCCAAGCGUUAUCCGGAAUCAUUGGGGUUAAAGGGUCCGUAGGCGGUUUAAUAAGUCAGUGGUGAAAGCCCAUCGCUCAACGAUGGAACGGCCAUUGAUACUGUUAGACUUGAAUUACAAGGAAGUAACUAGAAUAUGUAGUGUAGCGGUGAAAUGCUUAGAUAUUACAUGGAAUACCAAUUGCGAAGGCAGGUUACUACUUGUGGAUUGACGCUGAUGGACGAAAGCGUGGGGAGCGAACAGGAUUAGAUACCCGAGUAGUCC
Molecule: ribosomal RNA, 445 nt
Filed under: uncultured bacterium
Lineage: Bacteria
Description: partial 16S ribosomal RNA
Rfam family: Bacterial small subunit ribosomal RNA
Source: RNAcentral